CCACGGGUGAGUAACACGUAUCCAACCUGCCGUCUACUCUUGGCCAGCCUUCUGAAAGGAAGAUUAAUCCAGGAUGGCAUCAUGAGUUCACAUGUCCGCAUGAUUAAAGGUAUUUUCCGGUAGACGAUGGGGAUGCGUUCCAUUAGAUAGUAGGCGGGGUAACGGCCCACCUAGUCAACGAUGGAUAGGGGCUCUGAGAGGAAGGUCCCCCACAUUGGAACUGAGACACGGUCCAA
Molecule: ribosomal RNA, 236 nt
Filed under: uncultured bacterium
Lineage: Bacteria
Description: partial 16S ribosomal RNA
Rfam family: Bacterial small subunit ribosomal RNA
Source: RNAcentral